RNAcentral lists this ribosomal RNA (842 nucleotides) under uncultured bacterium. RNAcentral describes it as "bacterial SSU rRNA". It matches the Rfam family "Bacterial small subunit ribosomal RNA", at positions 28 to 896 of the family's 1533-position model. The record is from RNAcentral.
GACGAACGCUGGCGGCGUGCCUAACACAUGCAAGUCGAACGAAGCAUAGAAAUAUGCUUAGUGGCGGACGGGUGAGUAACGCGUGAACAAUCUGCCCUAUACAGAGGAAUAGCCUCGGGAAACCGGGAUUAAAACCGCAUAACACUUUUUGGUCGCAUGACUGAGAAGCCAAAUUGUUAGAGGUAUAGGAUGAGUUCGCGUCUGAUUAGCUAGUUGGCGGGGUAACGGCCCACCAAGGCGACGAUCAGUAGCCGGCCUGAGAGGGUGAACGGCCACACUGGAACUGAGACACGGUCCAGACUCCUACGGGAGGCAGCAGUGGGGAAUAUUGCACAAUGGAGGAAACUCUGAUGCAGCGACGCCGCGUGAGUGAAGAAGGUCUUCGGAUCGUAAAGCUCUGUCCUUGGGGACGAAAAAAAUGACGGUACCCAAGGAGGAAGCCCCGGCUAACUACGUGCCAGCAGCCGCGGUAAUACGUAGGGGGCGAGCGUUGUCCGGAUUUACUGGGCGUAAAGGGUGAGUAGGCGGUAAUAUGUGUCAGAUGUAAAAGGCUAUGGCUUAACUGUAGUUGGCAUUUGAAACUGUAUUACUUGAGUGCAGGAGAGGUAAGUGGAAUUCCUAGUGUAGCGGUGAAAUGCGUAGAUAUUAGGAGGAACACCAGUGGCGAAGGCGACUUACUGGACUGUAACUGACGCUGAGUCACGAAAGCGUGGGUAGCAAACAGGAUUAGAUACCCUGGUAGUCCACGCUGUAAACGAUGAGUGCUAGGUGUUGGCCAGCGAUGGUCAGUGCCGAAGUAAACACAAUAAGCACUCCGCCUGGGGAGUACGGUCGCAAGACUG